This 467-nucleotide ribosomal RNA is filed under the name uncultured bacterium. RNAcentral describes it as "partial 16S ribosomal RNA". It matches the Rfam family "Bacterial small subunit ribosomal RNA", at positions 28 to 506 of the family's 1533-position model. The record is from RNAcentral.
GAUGAACGCUGGCGGCGUGCUUAACACAUGCAAGUCGAACGGUGAAGGCGGAGCUUGCUCUGCUGGAUCAGUGGCGAACGGGUGAGUAACACGUGAGCAAUCUGCCCCUGACUCUGGGAUAAGCGCUGGAAACGGCGUCUAAUACUGGAUACGAGCUGCGAAGGCAUCUUCAGCAGCUGGAAAGAACUUCGGUCAGGGAUGAGCUCGCGGCCUAUCAGCUUGUUGGUGAGGUAACGGCUCACCAAGGCGUCGACGGGUAGCCGGCCUGAGAGGGUGACCGGCCCAAGGGGGACUGAGCCACGCCCCAGAUCCCCCGGGGGGGAAGCGGUGGGAAAUAUUACAAAAGGGGGAAAAGCCUGGAGCAGCAACCCCGGGGGGGGGACGACGGCUUUGGGGUUAUAAACCUUUUUUGGCGGGAAAGAAGGGAAAGGGACGGUACCUGCAAAAAAAGCCCCGGCAAACUAGGG